This 2904-nucleotide ribosomal RNA is filed under the name Escherichia coli. RNAcentral describes it as "23S ribosomal RNA". It matches the Rfam family "Bacterial large subunit ribosomal RNA". Lineage: Bacteria; Pseudomonadati; Pseudomonadota; Gammaproteobacteria; Enterobacterales; Enterobacteriaceae. The record is from RNAcentral.
GGUUAAGCGACUAAGCGUACACGGUGGAUGCCCUGGCAGUCAGAGGCGAUGAAGGACGUGCUAAUCUGCGAUAAGCGUCGGUAAGGUGAUAUGAACCGUUAUAACCGGCGAUUUCCGAAUGGGGAAACCCAGUGUGAUUCGUCACACUAUCAUUAACUGAAUCCAUAGGUUAAUGAGGCGAACCGGGGGAACUGAAACAUCUAAGUACCCCGAGGAAAAGAAAUCAACCGAGAUUCCCCCAGUAGCGGCGAGCGAACGGGGAGCAGCCCAGAGCCUGAAUCAGUGUGUGUGUUAGUGGAAGCGUCUGGAAAGGCGCGCGAUACAGGGUGACAGCCCCGUACACAAAAAUGCACAUGCUGUGAGCUCGAUGAGUAGGGCGGGACACGUGGUAUCCUGUCUGAAUAUGGGGGGACCAUCCUCCAAGGCUAAAUACUCCUGACUGACCGAUAGUGAACCAGUACCGUGAGGGAAAGGCGAAAAGAACCCCGGCGAGGGGAGUGAAAAAGAACCUGAAACCGUGUACGUACAAGCAGUGGGAGCACGCUUAGGCGUGUGACUGCGUACCUUUUGUAUAAUGGGUCAGCGACUUAUAUUCUGUAGCAAGGUUAACCGAAUAGGGGAGCCGAAGGGAAACCGAGUCUUAACUGGGCGUUAAGUUGCAGGGUAUAGACCCGAAACCCGGUGAUCUAGCCAUGGGCAGGUUGAAGGUUGGGUAACACUAACUGGAGGACCGAACCGACUAAUGUUGAAAAAUUAGCGGAUGACUUGUGGCUGGGGGUGAAAGGCCAAUCAAACCGGGAGAUAGCUGGUUCUCCCCGAAAGCUAUUUAGGUAGCGCCUCGUGAAUUCAUCUCCGGGGGUAGAGCACUGUUUCGGCAAGGGGGUCAUCCCGACUUACCAACCCGAUGCAAACUGCGAAUACCGGAGAAUGUUAUCACGGGAGACACACGGCGGGUGCUAACGUCCGUCGUGAAGAGGGAAACAACCCAGACCGCCAGCUAAGGUCCCAAAGUCAUGGUUAAGUGGGAAACGAUGUGGGAAGGCCCAGACAGCCAGGAUGUUGGCUUAGAAGCAGCCAUCAUUUAAAGAAAGCGUAAUAGCUCACUGGUCGAGUCGGCCUGCGCGGAAGAUGUAACGGGGCUAAACCAUGCACCGAAGCUGCGGCAGCGACGCUGAUGCGUUGUUGGGUAGGGGAGCGUUCUGUAAGCCUGCGAAGGUGUGCUGUGAGGCAUGCUGGAGGUAUCAGAAGUGCGAAUGCUGACAUAAGUAACGAUAAAGCGGGUGAAAAGCCCGCUCGCCGGAAGACCAAGGGUUCCUGUCCAACGUUAAUCGGGGCAGGGUGAGUCGACCCCUAAGGCGAGGCCGAAAGGCGUAGUCGAUGGGAAACAGGUUAAUAUUCCUGUACUUGGUGUUACUGCGAAGGGGGGACGGAGAAGGCUAUGUUGGCCGGGCGACGGUUGUCCCGGUUUAAGCGUGUAGGCUGGUUUUCCAGGCAAAUCCGGAAAAUCAAGGCUGAGGCGUGAUGACGAGGCACUACGGUGCUGAAGCAACAAAUGCCCUGCUUCCAGGAAAAGCCUCUAAGCAUCAGGUAACAUCAAAUCGUACCCCAAACCGACACAGGUGGUCAGGUAGAGAAUACCAAGGCGCUUGAGAGAACUCGGGUGAAGGAACUAGGCAAAAUGGUGCCGUAACUUCGGGAGAAGGCACGCUGAUAUGUAGGUGAAGCGACUUGCUCGUGGAGCUGAAAUCAGUCGAAGAUACCAGCUGGCUGCAACUGUUUAUUAAAAACACAGCACUGUGCAAACACGAAAGUGGACGUAUACGGUGUGACGCCUGCCCGGUGCCGGAAGGUUAAUUGAUGGGGUCAGCGCAAGCGAAGCUCUUGAUCGAAGCCCCGGUAAACGGCGGCCGUAACUAUAACGGUCCUAAGGUAGCGAAAUUCCUUGUCGGGUAAGUUCCGACCUGCACGAAUGGCGUAAUGAUGGCCAGGCUGUCUCCACCCGAGACUCAGUGAAAUUGAACUCGCUGUGAAGAUGCAGUGUACCCGCGGCAAGACGGAAAGACCCCGUGAACCUUUACUAUAGCUUGACACUGAACAUUGAGCCUUGAUGUGUAGGAUAGGUGGGAGGCUUUGAAGUGUGGACGCCAGUCUGCAUGGAGCCGACCUUGAAAUACCACCCUUUAAUGUUUGAUGUUCUAACGUUGACCCGUGAUCCGGGUUGCGGACAGUGUCUGGUGGGUAGUUUGACUGGGGCGGUCUCCUCCUAAAGAGUAACGGAGGAGCACGAAGGUUGGCUAAUCCUGGUCGGACAUCAGGAGGUUAGUGCAAUGGCAUAAGCCAGCUUGACUGCGAGCGUGACGGCGCGAGCAGGUGCGAAAGCAGGUCAUAGUGAUCCGGUGGUUCUGAAUGGAAGGGCCAUCGCUCAACGGAUAAAAGGUACUCCGGGGAUAACAGGCUGAUACCGCCCAAGAGUUCAUAUCGACGGCGGUGUUUGGCACCUCGAUGUCGGCUCAUCACAUCCUGGGGCUGAAGUAGGUCCCAAGGGUAUGGCUGUUCGCCAUUUAAAGUGGUACGCGAGCUGGGUUUAGAACGUCGUGAGACAGUUCGGUCCCUAUCUGCCGUGGGCGCUGGAGAACUGAGGGGGGCUGCUCCUAGUACGAGAGGACCGGAGUGGACGCAUCACUGGUGUUCGGGUUGUCAUGCCAAUGGCACUGCCCGGUAGCUAAAUGCGGAAGAGAUAAGUGCUGAAAGCAUCUAAGCACGAAACUUGCCCCGAGAUGAGUUCUCCCUGACUCCUUGAGAGUCCUGAAGGAACGUUGAAGACGACGACGUUGAUAGGCCGGGUGUGUAAGCGCAGCGAUGCGUUGAGCUAACCGGUACUAAUGAACCGUGAGGCUUAACCUU